Molecule: ribosomal RNA, 253 nt
Filed under: uncultured bacterium
Lineage: Bacteria
Description: partial 16S ribosomal RNA
Rfam family: Bacterial small subunit ribosomal RNA
Source: RNAcentral
UACGUAGGGGGCUAGCGUUGUCCGGAUUUAUUGGGCGUAAAGAGCGUGUAGGCGGCCAUGUAGGUCCGGUGUGAAAACUCGAGGCUUAACCUCGAGAUGUCAUCGGAAACCAUUUGGCUAGAGUCCGGAAGAGGAGAGUGGAAUUCCUGGUGUAGCGGUGAAAUGCGCAGAUAUCAGGAAGAACACCGGUGGCGAAGGCGGAUCUCUGGGCCUUACCUGACGCUCAGGUGCGAAAGCUAGGGGAGCGAACAGG